Molecule: long non-coding RNA, 936 nt
Filed under: Mytilus galloprovincialis (Mediterranean mussel)
Lineage: Eukaryota; Metazoa; Mollusca; Bivalvia; Mytilida; Mytilidae
Source: RNAcentral
AAAAAAAAAAAAAAAUUUAUGGUGAGGCUGAGAAGAUGAGAGGGUGUCAGUUUUUUUAAGGUCGUUGACAUCUGAUGUAACACAGUCAUGUGCUUUGCUUGUCAUUUAAAUUGAAUUCAACCUCAGUGGUGACUGCUUGUUAUGAUAUCAUGCGUGAACAGCUACUUUCUCUAACCUUCUUUAAAAUUAAUUUGAUAUUUGAAUCAUACACUGACAAAAUCUUCAAUAACUGAGAGUCCUUUUAUAAUACAAUAUCCCCUUUGCCAGUGGGCCCUUUUUAAAUAUAAUAUCCCCUUUACCAGAUGAUCCUUUUGGAAAACAAUAUCCCCUUUACCAGAGGGUCCUUUUGGAAUACAUAAAGGCAACAGAAGUAUACCGAUAUUCAAAACUCAUAAAUCGAUAGAAAAAAACAAAUCCGGGUCACAAACUAAAUUAAAUAUAAGAGGAGAAUGACAACAUUAAAAUGUAACACACACAGAAACGAACUAAGCAAUAGACAAAAUCCGAUGAGAAUAACAAAUAUAACAUCAAAACUGAAUACAUGAAUUUGGGAUAGAAAAAUACCGUGACACGUCUUAUAAUAAUUUGAAUUCCCACUCAAAUAUAAGAGGAAACAAACGACAGAAAAGAAACACAACGUUAAAAAGUAACACACACAGAAACGAACUAUAAUAUAAUAAUGACCAUAUUCCUGACUUGGUACAACACAUUUUUUAAAGAAAAAAAUGGUAAUACAAUAUCCCUUAUACUAGUGGGCCCUUUUGAAAUACAAAAUCCCCGAUAACAAAGGAUUCUUUUGGAAUACAACAUCCCCUAUACUAGAGGGUCCUUUUGGAGUACAAAAUCACGAUACCAGAGUGUCCUUUUGAAAUACUUGUCCAUUGUCUACCUCAUUGAUGUAUCGACACGUAAAGAUAGCGUUACACUAGACACUUG